GUGCAUGGCUGUCGUCAGCUCGUGUCGUGAGAUGUUGGGUUAAGUCCCGCAACGAGCGCAACCCUCGUGUUUAGUUGCAUCAUUAAGUUGGGCACUCUAAACAGACUGCCGGUGACAAACCGGAGGAAGGUGGGGAUGACGUCAAGUCAGCAUGCCCCUUACGUCCUGGGCUACACACGUACUACAAUGGUAGGGACAGAGGGCAGCCAACCCGCGAGGGCGAGCUAAUCCCGUAAACCCUGCCUCAGUUCAGAUUGCAGGCUGCAACUCGCCUGCAUGAAGGCGGAAUCGCUAGUAAUCGCAGGUCAGCAUACUGCGGUGAAUCCGUCCCGGGCCUGUACACACCGCCCUCACA
Molecule: unclassified non-coding RNA, 355 nt
Filed under: uncultured cyanobacterium
Lineage: Bacteria; Bacillati; Cyanobacteriota
Description: bacterial SSU rRNA
Rfam family: Bacterial small subunit ribosomal RNA
Source: RNAcentral